CUCAUACUCACAACACAAAGUUUAUUGAAUUGAAACAUCGAAGACAUAAGAAAGAUUACACCUAAAACGCCCAAGAAUUCCACUUUGAAUUUCUGCACGUCAAGCUCCUCUUCUUCUUCUCCUUGCUGCGGCAGAGAUGGUUAAAGGGAUUUUUGGAUGUGGUUUUGGUUUAGGAAUGGAGUUAGGAUGAUAUGGUGGUGCGGCAAGGGGUAUGGAUGGUGUAUGGAGGUGUAUAAUGGUGGCUGGAGUAAAGGAUGGUUGCAGCAAGGAGGGAUUAAGGUGAUGGUGGCUGCGGCAAGGUGGGGAAAAGGGUUGGAUGAUUUUCUGAUUUGUGGAGAGGGAUCCCCUUUGCGGCAUGGUGGUAAAACACAUAUAUAUAGGCAGCCAAACCCUAAAGAAAUCAGGUUAGGCAAAUAGGCUAGGGUUUGGGUGCAGCAAGGGUUGGAAAUCCACCAGAAAAUAAGGUUUCUAGAACAUUAGGUGCGGCAUGGGCUUAGGGUAGAUAGAUUAGGGUUUAACUUGGCAGAAAUUAAAUGAUUAGGCCCUAGGGUGUGGCUGAUUAAGUGGGCUAGGAUUAGGGUUUAGGUGCGGCAUAGGCUUAGGGUCCACAAGGAGUUUAGGGUUUAUGUCAUCUAAAAGCCCAAAGCCAAGAAUAGAAACUCACGAAAAUGGAAACCUCCAAGAAUAGAAACUUCCAACUUUAGAAACUUUGGUUGCCAAUUCCGAAUUCUUUGUUCUUCACUUCCAUUCCUUCAUGUCUUAAGCUCCUAUGACAUCCAAGCUCGUCCAUUCCUCGUGCACCAUUAGCCUACACAACAUUCCGGCUCAAUUUUUCUCUAAAAUGCUCCAUUUCGCACCAUUUCAUGUAAUAUGUCCUUUAAACCUGAAAACACAUGAAAGUAGCUUAAAAGACUACUUUAACGAAGAGAACAUAACGAAAAUGCAUAAAAACUAGCUAACAUAGGAGCAUAAAUAUGCUCCUAUCAAAUAUGUGCUUGAAAUAAUUGAGACAGAAAACUAAUUCUAGUUUGCAAAUGAAAUUGAUAAACUAAAAUUGCAUCAUAACAUUAAUUCAAUCAUGUCUAGGGCUUCAAAGCAGCCCUAAGUAUCCAUAACCUAAAUUAAAAACAUAAAAAAAUACAUAAAAACAAAAUACAUAAAAAGUUAGGAAAGCUAGAACCUAGAAACAGCUCAAGGUGCAGGACUCCUCAUCCUCUUUGAUGUUGUGUAUCUCCUUUUUUUAUCUCCUUCAGAUUCUGUGUAUUUCUCUCUUAUUAAAAGGCUUAGAAGUUUUCUAACAUUUGACACAUUUACAUCCUUGAAUUAACUCUCAUUUAUAGCUCAUUACAAUCAGGUUUUGUAUAGGAGUAGUUGAAAACUAGCUGUUAUCAGAAUUUGUAACUAAACAGCUCCUCUUUAUUCUGUCAUAAUUUCUUGUAGAGACCUCCAAAUCACAAGCUGUAAAGAUCCUCAGAAAGAAGACUUCUAGGAAUUUCUAACCAUAUAUGGCCCAUUUUCUAAUUCGUUCUGAGCACUUUGGGGCAAAGCUCAUAAGUUGGCUGCUCUAUGAGGGACUUUUCUGGCGGAUCUUGGGCCACUUGUGGGCUAUGGUCUGGUCUUGGGUGAGUUGGUCUUCAAACUAUCUAUUCUAGGCUCUUAAAAUAUUCAAAAUAAGAUAAUUUCUUCAAGCCCUUACUUUCAUCCUGAAAUACAAUACAAACAACAAAAUAUCUUGUUAUACAUAGAAAUUUUAAGUAAAAAACCUAAGCAAAAGUAUAACUUUAUGCACUCAACAAGUUCUUGAACGAAAUUUUGUGAAAAACAUGUUCAUUUGAGCAACAUCUAUGGCAUGCAAUUAACAAUUAAAGGCAGAAUCAUGCUUGUAUGCACUCAAAAACAAAACAAUACCCAUGAAAUUCAAAGCCUAGUAGAAGGGUGAACCAAGACUCAACUCAAAACAAAGUGAGUUGAGAAACUUUAUACUUUGUUGAUUCCUCUUUGCAUAAGCAAAAGCUAAUCACCCAAGGAGAGGGCCUUCAUUCUUGCUUCUUAGCACCAUGGAUUUCUUGGAUAAGGAUGGUUGAAAGGUUUCUCCAAGUUCCCAAAGUUGAGAACCUCUAAGUCUCCACACUAAGGUAGGACUUGAAGAAGAGAUGAGUGACCUAGAGGAAGUAAGAUUGCUAGCUAAAAUCCUCUAGGGUGGCCGACCUCUUAGAGAGAAAAAUGGAGCUUGUGUUCUCAUCUUUUCUCCAAAAGAAACUCUAAGGAUGAAAUGAUUAUAAAGUUGCCUUUAUACCAUCUCAUAAUGGAGUGGCAAACUUGCAGUUAAAGUAAGUUCACUAUCCUCCUCUAUUUGGCCGGCCUUAAGGGUUUAUUGGGCUUUCAAGCCCUUUGUUUAUUCAAGUUGUCAUACAACUUGAGUUAAUGGGCUUGACAUUCAAAUCCCAUUGGGCCUUUGCGGCCCAAAACUAACCCUAUGUCUAUAACGAACUUAUUCGUUUGAUUAAUUAACAUAUUAAUUAAUCCUAACCAUAAAUAAUUAAACCAUUUAAUUAUCCUUAAUCAUCUCCGUUGUUUCUUCAAUCUCUACCUUACACGGUGUACGAUCCAUUAGGUUCCUUUUAGCAAGGCAGUUGGCGAUUGUUACUCUUAACGAUCAAUUGUGAAUUGAAACUUACUUUCAAUUCUCCCUUUAGUGAUUAUACACGUUUAUGGCUUCCACAAACCAUGAGUGACACCUAGCAAUAUACCAUGGUUACCCAAGCUAAUCAGAAGAGGUGGAUAACCUAUUCAGUUUAGGAUUACAAUGCAAUACGGUCUUUCUCUAAUACAAUACUCUUGACCACAUUGUUUGGUUUGAUAGUUUAAUCAUGUCUACUAUCCAAUGUGAUUCAUUUACUUAUAUGAUUACCUUGAAUGUGAUUUGGAACGACUUCCCAAAUUUCAUUCAUACUCUGGCCAGAGAUUCUUAAUCAUAUCAAAGAGCAUUCUCCCUCAAACGGUUUGAAGGUUAGAGAUCCCUUGUUGCACAUUCACUUGCCUCCAUGGCUAAGUGGCUUAACCCCAACUAUGUCGUGGACACCCUCUGACAGAGUGAUUUUGUCAUAGUCAAAGAUCAAGGACGUAACCACAAGACAACUAUGAUGCCUCAGGUCAAAUGACUACUUUGCAUUAUCCCAACCAUGAGUUCUCAUGUGACAUGAGUAUGAGAACUCCUCGUUGAUCGUGUUUAGUGGACUCAUUCUCUAUUGAGCACCUACAUGCUUGUCUUGGUGUCAAUCACACCAAUGACUCGAGACCAGUCACUCUUCCUGAGAGAAGACACAACACGUACUCUUAACGGACUGUCAAUGCCCAAUUGGCAAUCCUAUGAUCAGGAACGUUUACGAUAUGUAUACGAAAGAGAAUGGUCUCAUGAAUCUAACUUCUUUAAAUUACGUUCUCGUAAUUACAUAUUCCUUUGACUUAUCGUUUAAGCAUAUAACAUUUAUAUGUGACGGCUUAAAACAAUAAUCUUUGCCCUUAAUAUUAAACUAGAUUAGUUUAACAUGUGAAAUGUCCGUAAAGUAUCAUCAUAUGAUUGGUUUUAGGGUACAUUUCCAACAGUUCUGUCUAGUCAAAUAUUCUCGCUGCUAUCACCUGAGCUGGGCACACACUUUAAGACAACCCACAUGGGUUAUUUGACAGCUUUUUCUUGAAAAUGGUUUUUCAGCCCUAGAUCUUUCCAAAUUGUUUUUGCACAUGACACAUGGCUUUUCUUGUCCCGAUUCUUAUCUGAAUCAAGCCCUCUAUAAAAGCUUCAUCUAGGGUUUCAUUUCAACUUGGCUAGGAGAGUUUAUUUUCUGAAGAAAAAAAAAGGUUGAUUUUAGCUUGGCACUGCCCUUUGGUUCUUACUUAAAAACCCUAGCCACAAAAUCACAUUCAUGCACUCAACACCCACAUCAUUACAUAUUAGUGUAGCAUUGCUUUUGUGAUUUUGAGCUUUGUUUCAAGUCAAGUUUUUAUAAGUUUCAAAUAUUUGAACUGACCUUUUUUUGGAUUCGCUUCAGUUUCUUCUUUCAAGUGUUUGACCGAUGAAAUUGACUAGACGACGAAUCCAAAUUUGCAUAAACUUCAUCAUAAUAUCAUUUGUAUAAAUUGAUUGAUUCUCGGUGCCACAAGAUGAAGAGCUCAUGAGGAGCUGCCACUUCAUGAAGAUCGAAGAAGUCCAUCUUGUGAAAGGCAAGGUUGCACAAAGGUCUAAGCUGUUCCUAGAUAGAGAUCUAAGAAUUGAGCUUGUGUGGUUACUUUGUAAGAAUCUUGAUUUCACUAUUGGAUUAGACUGAGUGGAGAGUCCUAGGUUUUUUUUAACCCAGAGGUAGGUUUUUCCGGCCAAAAACAUCCUGUGCAAUUUAUCGCUUUACUAGUUUACUUAUCUUCCUUUUGAUUGUGAUAUAUGCUCUUCAUUAUCCACAAAUAGAUAAGUCCUUGCAACUAAGUUUGUCAAUAUUAAAAUGUACACUAAAUUGGACCUUAGUUAACUAGGAACAUUUUAAUAAAUUGAACUUUAAUUUGACUUCUUCCGUUGCAAGUAAACUAACAUAUCUGAGCUUAGUUGAUGAGUGUUGCUGACUAGUCAGACAAACACGUACAUAGUUUUUAAAUUGCAACUUAUUCCACCUAGUAUCAAUUUCAAUAUCAAAUGAGAUACAAAAAAAGGCUGGAAAAAGUGUGAGAUAUGCAGUUCAAUUGCUUACAGGCAAAAAAGAUGAUACUUAAGACUAGUUUGGUAUUGCUGUGCUUUGAAAAAAAAAAUUGUUUCUAUUGUGCUGUGAGAAUAAAUGGCUAUGAAAUAAAGCAAUAGAGUGUUUGGUAAACCAUUUUGUAAAAGUGCUUUUAACAAAAAAAGUAGUGUUAAAGUGUUCGGUAAAUUUUUAUGUAAAACCGCUGCGACUAUGUAAAAUGACUAAACAAGAUAUGAUGUUGAAUAUUAUAUAAUAAUUUUUUUAUCUUUUCUUUUAGUAUGACAUUUAUAAGAUUAUAUAAACUAUUUAUAAACAAUUGUAAGCUUUGAAGAAUGUACUUUUACCUUUUUUUUAUUAAGACUAGCAUAUGGGCACAUACAAAGUGUGUGAGAAAUUUUUUUAUUUUUGUUUUUGAAAUAGAAGGAGAGAGGAAGAGAGUGAAAGAGAAUGUGGGAGUGGGAAGUUCUAUUUUUUUUUAACUUUUUUUUAUUAGAGAUAUGUUAGGAUUACAUGUAGGUGAGGCUUUGAAAAAAACAACAGCAAAAUUUGGUUGUGUGAAAUUACAUUUCUACCCCAUAUUUCUUAUUCAUGUUCUGUUUUAAUUAGAAGGUUAAACUGGUAAUUUCAUAAGAUUUUGGUUGACAAUGAGUGUUCUAUUAAUUAGUAGAGAUAUUUAUAAUUUUAUUUAUUCUAUUCUUUUCUUUAAGAGUCAUUUCUUCUUUACCUUGUCCUUAUUUUAUUUGUGCAAAACCUAUUAAUAGGAGUGUUUUAAGCUAUUUUCGUGUGUUUGUAGGUCCUAAUAACAAAGUUGGAAAAAAAGUGCAUUUUGGUGCAAUUUGGAGCAAUUUUGGGCCAAAAUGGAUUGCAUGCAUAUGGAGCAAGUGGGAUGGACGUUUUUGGUGUUUUAAAAAGGGUUUCAACACAUGCAAAAAUCCGAAUAAUGAAGUUGAAGUGUGGAAGUGUGCAGAUACAUACACUUAAGGAACAAUUUGAAAGGAAAAGAAGUGAAAAAUGCCAUUUGUUGGAUUGCUUUACAAGUUGUAUUCACAUUUUCAGCAACUACAAACAUAAUUACAAGCUGAAAUGAUGCAUAGCAUGUGUGUAGAGGUGUAAAGUGGCCGAAAGUUGAUGUUUGCAAGAUGAAAUGAUGCAAAACAUGUGUGUGAAAGUUGUCUAACAUCUAGUACAUGUGGAAAAGGGAUGGAAUACAAGGCAAAUGCAUCAGAAAUUGAAGAAUGAAGGCACAUGGACAGCUACAAAGGAGUUGAAUUAGCAAGAGAGGAAUGAUUGCCUUUUGUUAAAGGCAAGACACAAUCAUAAAAGAGCAUGUAAAGUAGCUGUUUUUGCAUCAUUUUGGUCUUUGUUUGUAUUGUUUAUUGAAGCCACUUGAGUGAUUCUUUGCUUUGGAGCUUCUAUAAAUAGGGAGUGAAGGGAAGAACAUAGGGGGACAUCAAAAACACAUCAACCACCCCUCCAUAUUCAGAAUUUUCGCCAGAAAUCAUUCCCUCUCUUUGCCGCAGCCUUCCUUCACCAUUCUUUCAUAUUUUUCUGAUUCUUUUUACCCUAGCCGUACCCCCUAUCAAUCCUAAACCCUUCCAUACCAUUCCCUACCCAUUCUCCCAUACAAAUACCACCCUAGAACCUGACUUUAGACCAAGUGCCGCAGUAAGGAGGAAAGAAGACUUGUGGAUGCACCUGCUGUCCAAGUUGGAUCAUCUAGGUGUUUUCUUUCUUUGGAUUUUAAUGUCUAAAUUUAUGUAUCUUUGCUUUGUGAGUAUGAGGAACUAAACCCCCCUUGGCUAGGGGGAAUUCGAAACCAUGUUUAUGCUUGCUAUAUGAUUUGAUUACUUCUAAUUGCGUUUCAUAAGUUGUGAAUUCAAUUUACUUAUCUACAUGAAUUAAAACUGAUUUGUGUAUGUUGGUUGAGAGUGCACGCUUAAUUUUCAUGCAUAAGUUUGAUGCUAGGAUAUAAGGGAGUUUCACCUAAUCGUUAUGAACUUAUAUUCACAAGUAGUAAAGGUUGUUGAUCACAAUCGUGUUAAGUAAAUUAUUGGCAUGAGUUUCAUGCAAUUCAUAGUAACGAGUGCUUUGCCAAUGCUUAUGAUUUUCAUAGAACUUAAUGAUUCUUGCUUGUAUCUCUAUUAUGCAAUUCAUGUAGGGAACUUGUGGGGAAUGCUUUGGGUUGUCGUAUGCAAUUCAUCUAAUUCAAUAACUUAAGGAAAAUCUGAGGGUUAAUUAGUGCAAUUCACGGUUAAUCUGGGGUGUUGGGAAUUCAUGGUUUAUCGAAAAGCAAUUGGAAAUCGUUUUGUAUGCAAGUGUGACAUGUGUGGAGAAGAACCCCUUAGCUAGCUUUCCAUCCAUUAACUUUUAUCAAAUUCGUUUUAGAAUCUGUUCAAUUUACAAAGUUUGUUCUUGUUUUCAAUUUUCGUCAAAACUCAAUCCCCAUUUAUUUUGAAGUGUUGGAUUAGUUAGAAAUCAAUUUAGUUUGUGUUUUUAAGUGUCUUGAGUCAAGUCAUAACCCAAUUCGUCCAAUUUAGUGUUAGGUGUUCAAAACUGCCCAGAAAGUGUUUUUAAGGCAGUUUUGAGUGUUUAUUUGUUGUUUUGAGUCUUUUGGUUUGUUUUGGUGUUUUAUAGUUUAGUUUUGCAUUCUUUGAGUCUAGUUUAGUGUUUUAAACUUUGUUUUUACGUUUUGAGUUAGUUUCAAGUGAUUUGGCAAUCCCUCCUAAUCCCCGGCCUAGAACGAUCCCUACUUACAUACUUUGCUACAAUUGAUAAAAAGAGGGUUUAAUUUGUGUGCUUAUAUAUUUCGCAUCACAUAUGUAUAUUUUAUCUUCUGCCGCUAACUCCCUCUCUUCCCCUUCUCUCUCUGCCUCUCUUUGUCUCUCUCGACCUAAUCCUAAAGAAAGCUAGGUCAUGGGGAAAGGAAGGCUCGGUCGCAUUAACCGAUUCGUAGACGAUGGAUGAAUUUCGAUUUUAGGACUUACCAUCGGUGAUAGGAGCAUAUUUAUGCGACUUAGUUUGUUUUCUUGCAUUUAUGUUAUUAGUUCAUAGUUAUUUUAGUAUUUUAAGCUAUUUUCGUGUGUUUGUAGGUCCAAAGGGCUAAAGUAGCAAGAAAGUGUAUUUUGGUGCAUUUUGGAGCAGUUUUGGGCUUGGAAUGGAUAACACAUGCAUGGAGCAAGGUGGAUGGACGAAAUUGAAGACUAAAGAGGCUAGGAAUGUGUUAAAGAGAAAGAAGAAUUAAUUUAAAGAAGAUAAGGAACUCAGCAAGAAAAGAAGAAACAUGAGUCAAGUUACCUUAUUUUGAUUUAACCUUUCUUAAUCCUAAUCUAACUAAGUUCCAGCCACAAGGAGAGUUCCCAAAGAUAUUAGGACACUAAAUAAAGGAUUCUAGAAACCCUAAUCUCAGCCACAAAGGGGUGUCACACCACUUUUCCCCUUUCAUUGCCUUGCACACCACCCUUGUCCCCUUCAUUGUCUCCUUGCUGCACCAUUCCACCACCCUUCCCCUUCCUUGUCGUGCAUUCAUCCUUUGUCUCCUUGCAGCUUUAACCUUUUACCUUUCCUUCCCUUUUCCUUGUCACACCACUCCCUUUCUUUUCCUUAGCUGUGCACUCCUUCCCCUUUUUUCUAGAUUUCUGCCACAACUUUCACUUUCACUUUCACUUUCACUAUUGUGUCAUAACCUUUCCCUUUCCCUUGCCUUGUGUCCCCUUCCUUGUCCCCUUAACCUUUUCCUUGGAUUCUGAUUUGAUUUAAAGUUAAAAAUCCUUCUACAAUCAUUAGUUUCUUUCCCUUGGUUUUUCUGCAGCACCCUAGCUGUAUUUCAUUAGUGUUUUGACAUAUUUUGCUAUUUAAGUAAGUGUGUGUAACAGCCAUGGGGCAUUCAUCAUUCAUCCACUUCCAUACACACCAUUCACCACCAUUCACACAACUAGAAAGCCAUACACAAACAUCUUUGUUGGAGCCAUCAUCUCACACAUUCACCACCAUACAUACUUGGUGCGAGAAUUACUUGACACACAAAUUUAACCCUCUUUUUGACAAUUGUAGUAUAGAUGUAAGUAGGGUAUCGUUCUAGGCCGGGGAUUAGGAGGGAUUGCUAAUCUAUUCUAAAUUAAUUUAGAAAUAUUAAACAAGACUCAAGGACACAAAACUAAGCUAAAAACUCUAAUAACUCGAAACACACUUAGAAUGACUCAAAAUAAUGAAAACAAUCAAAUUAGACACUAGGAACUGAAAUGGACGGAAAUUGAAUUAAAAGACUAACAACAAUGAAAACUAACUAAAUAAUAUAAUUUAAUAAUGGGGGGUUUGGUUUUGAUGAAAAGUAAAUUAAACUUAAAUAAAUUACAGAAUUGACAAAAACAUGAAAUUAAGGUGAAAGGAUAGGUGACGGACUAUCUAGAGGGUUCUUCUCCACACAUGACACAUAUGCAACCUAAAUUGAUUUUCAGUUGUUCUUUCAAUAAAUUGUAAAUCACAAUACUUCAGAUUAACCGUGAACAACACUUUUUUAAUCUUCAAGUUUUCCUUAAGUUAUUGGGUUGGAUGAUUGCAUACAACAACCCAAAACAUUCCCUACACGUUCCCUACAUGAAUUGCAUAAUAGAGAUACAAGCAAGAAUCAUUAAGUUCUAUGAAAAACAUAAGCAUUGACGA
This 9383-nucleotide long non-coding RNA is filed under the name Malus domestica (apple). RNAcentral's name for it is "long non-coding RNA (MDOM_LNC013872)". Lineage: Eukaryota; Viridiplantae; Streptophyta; Magnoliopsida; Rosales; Rosaceae. The record is from RNAcentral.